UUCUGUGAUGAGACAGGAAGUGCCGUCUGAUGCGAUAACUGACGAUGGCAAACCAGAAUGAUUCUGAGA
Molecule: small nucleolar RNA, 69 nt
Organism: Rhinichthys klamathensis goyatoka
Lineage: Eukaryota; Metazoa; Chordata; Actinopteri; Cypriniformes; Leuciscidae
Product: small nucleolar RNA SNORD49
Exons: 1
Source: RefSeq, a predicted model, not a curated record